AACGAACGCUGGCGGCAUGCCUAACACAUGCCAGUCGAACGAGACCUUCGGGUCUAGUGGCGCACGGGUGCGUAACGCGUGGGAACCUGCCCUUAGGUUCGGAAUAACUCCCCGAAAGGGGUGCUAAUACCGGAUAAUGUCUUCGGACCAAAGAUUUAUCGCCUUUGGAUGGGCCCGCGUUGGAUUAGCUAGUUGGUAGGGUAAAAGCCUACCAAGGCGACGAUCCAUAGCUGGGCUGAGAGGAUGGUCAGCCACACUGAGACUGAGACACGGCCCAGACUCCUACGGGAGGCAGCAGUGGCGAAUAGUGGACAGUGGGCGAAAGCCUGAUCCAGCAAUGCCGCGUGAGUGAUGAAGGCCGUAGGGUUGUAAAGCUCUUUUACCCGGGAUGAUAAUGACAGUACCGGGAGAAUAAGCUCCGGCUAACUCCGUG
RNAcentral lists this ribosomal RNA (433 nucleotides) under uncultured bacterium. RNAcentral describes it as "partial 16S ribosomal RNA". It matches the Rfam family "Bacterial small subunit ribosomal RNA", at positions 29 to 507 of the family's 1533-position model. The record is from RNAcentral.